GUCUACGGCCAUACCACCCUGAACACGUCCAAUCUCGUCUGAUCUCGGAAGCUAAGCAGGGUUGGGCCUGGUUAGUACUUGGAUGGGAGAACACCUAGGAAUACCAGGUGCUGUAGGCU
Ribosomal RNA from Chinchilla lanigera (long-tailed chinchilla), 119 nucleotides. The record is from Ensembl. Lineage: Eukaryota; Metazoa; Chordata; Mammalia; Rodentia; Chinchillidae.